ACCAGGUGCAGUGGCACGUGUCUGUAGACCCAGCUACUCGGGAGGCUAAGGCUGGAGGAUCGCUUGAGUCCAGGAGUUCUAGGCUGUAGUGCACUGUGCCUAUUGGGUGUCCUCAUUAAGUUUGGCAUCAAUAUGGUGACCUCCCAGGAGCAGGAUGCCAACAGGUUGCCUAAGGAGGAGUGAACUGGUCCAGGUCAGAAACAGAGCAGGUCAAAACUCCCGUGCUGAUCAGUAGUGGGAUUGCACCUGUGAAUAGCCACUGCACUCUAGCCUGGGCAACAUAGUGAGACCCUGUCUCUU
Callithrix jacchus (white-tufted-ear marmoset) is the source of this 300-nucleotide unclassified non-coding RNA. It matches the Rfam family "Metazoan signal recognition particle RNA". Rfam says of the family: The signal recognition particle (SRP) is a universally conserved ribonucleoprotein. It is involved in the co-translational targeting of proteins to membranes. The eukaryotic SRP consists of a 300-nucleotide 7S RNA and six proteins: SRPs 72, 68, 54, 19, 14, and 9. The record is from Ensembl. Lineage: Eukaryota; Metazoa; Chordata; Mammalia; Primates; Cebidae.